RNAcentral lists this transfer RNA (26 nucleotides) under Pipistrellus kuhlii (Kuhl's pipistrelle). RNAcentral describes it as "partial tRNA-Thr". Lineage: Eukaryota; Metazoa; Chordata; Mammalia; Chiroptera; Vespertilionidae. The record is from RNAcentral.
GUCUAUGUAGUAUAUUAAUUAUACUG